Molecule: long non-coding RNA, 939 nt
Organism: Piliocolobus tephrosceles (Ugandan red Colobus)
Lineage: Eukaryota; Metazoa; Chordata; Mammalia; Primates; Cercopithecidae
Exons: 5
Source: RefSeq, a predicted model, not a curated record
AGCUCAUAUAAGGUAAAAGGCAGAGUGGCCUCUGUGGCCAGGGAGCCGCAGGCAAGGGACUAAGGGGAGGGGGGCUCAGUGCCAGCUGCUUAAAAAUGCCCCUGUGGCAGCGAGGGGCACCCGAGGCUGGGUCUAAUUAGUUGAGAAGCAGUGACAACCCCAACCACUCACCAAACAGGCUGGUUCCCAUCUCCAGGCCCCAAGGAGCCACACCUGGACCAGACCCCAGGAAAGGCAAGGGCACUGACUGGUGGGAGCCACCCCUGCCACGCUGGUGUUGGAGAAGCAAGAACUCUGGAGAAGCAGCCUCCUGGGACCAGAGGAGGGCCAGCAGCGGGCAGCUCAGAGACAGAACUCUCACCCACGCCUCCCCAAGCCUCCCGACAGAAGACAGAGGUCCCCCACAGCCCAGAGACAUUUCCUGAAGACAUGGGGAGCACAGAGGCGGAAACAGCCCAUCCACCCAGGAGCGGCCCCCAACGCUGCCGGCAGCCAGCACCCAGAGCCAUCAGGUAAAACUGAGGCCACCUGGCUCAACAUUGCUUUUCACAGAAGGGGAAACAGCCACAGAGAGAAGGGCCUGGUAAGAAGUGCAACCUGGGACCCCCAAGCGGUGGCUCUCAUCCUGACUGGGGAUCCAGAGUAGGAGGGAGCCUUUGGUGGGGUUGGAGCCCGCCACAGGUCGCCAGAGUGGAGCAGCGCAGCGCCCUGUCUCCCAGCCUGAGGUGCAGUGCUGCAUCUCUGGUCAGUUGGGAGUCUGAGAUGAAGCACUGUAGCUCAGGAAGAGAGAAGUUGUUCUGCAGCCAUCAGCCUGGAAGUGCCUGGCUGGUGGCCCUUCUCACAGUAGCUUCCCCUGAAGAAGAGGAAAAGCAAACCUUCACUGAGACCCAAGUGGUCUCUCCUGUGCUCUGUGACAAUAAUAAAGUCCUGGCCCUUGGC